Molecule: long non-coding RNA, 1203 nt
Organism: Solanum pennellii
Lineage: Eukaryota; Viridiplantae; Streptophyta; Magnoliopsida; Solanales; Solanaceae
Exons: 2
Source: RefSeq, a predicted model, not a curated record
AUAACAUCAUCAGCAAUACCAAAAUAAACCCAAUUCAUUCAACAUACAAUACAACAAAUAUGCACCCCACUUCGUUUUCCUUCUUCACGCCAGCAAACAUAGAAAUCUCGGAGAACCGGCAGUUCGAAAGAAAAACUGACCCAACUACCUCAGUCUCAUCAAUCUAGAAUAUACCGAGAAAAGCCGUGUCAUCCACCUUUUCUUGUUGCAGUGGCAACGUCCCUCGUGUUGAAAUCUCCUUGCUCGAUCGUCCUUCGCUCAAAAUUAAUGGCUCCCUUCAAAAAUCCGUUGAGGAUUUGUCCUAUUCUUAAGAUGGCAACCUUUUCUCCUCAAGGGAAUUUUUAGAUUCAUCCAAUCUACCUAUUUUCCCCCAAUUUCUAUCUAUAUAUUCAUCUAUCUCAUUCACUGUUUAAAGGUAGAAAAAUAGGAAGAAAAAUAAGGGGAAACAUACUUCGAUCGACAGAAAAUGAAGUAGAGAAAAAUAGAGUUGAGAGAGAGAGCUCUACCAUUAGACAGAAAAUACGGAAAAAAUAGGGGAGAAAAAGAGAGUAGAAAAAGAAAACAGAGUGUUUGAGUCUUUUCUAUUCGAAUUCGAUGUUUAUUUUAUUUUAUGAAGUGCGUCGAAAUUGGCUCACAGUGGUGGUAGUUCUUCGUGGUUAAGCUCGUCGUCUCAGUUUACUAACCCAAAAAAGUCAAUGGUGGACUUAUUUGUGUGGCAUUUCUGAGUUAAGCCAUAAUGGCUCGACUUUGCCUUCCUAUCUCUAUAGUCAGCCCCGCUAUAUAUUCGGAAGUUGUUACAGGUUCCAUAGCUUCAACAUAAUGUUGUAAGUUAGCUCAAAAUCCCAAGAAAUGGGUUGUAUACAUACUGUAUACUAUACACUGAUAUACAGAUUCAGUGGAAAAAAUAUGUGGCCAAAUACAAAGAUACAGGUUGGAGGCGUCAAAACGGACUGUAUGCAGUUCGAUAUACAGAAAAAGAGUCAAAAAAAUCAAACACUUGGUUUAUACACAGGAUUUCAAGGGUUAAAAUAGGGCCAGAGCCCAAAUCAGCAGCCUUAAAAGCCCAAGUCCAUGACCUCUUCAUUUUUUUUAUUGCAUUUAUUUAUUUGAUUUGAUUUGAUUUGAUUAACUCUAACCAUUUAUUUACUUCGUUAUAAUUUAAUUAAAUUCCCCAUAAGAUAAAUUAUAUUCUUUAUGUUUGUA